CCUACGGGAGGCUGCAGUGGGGAAUAUUGCUCAAUGGGGGAAACCCUGAAGCAGCAACGCCGCGUGGAGGAUGAAGGUUCUCGGAUUGUUAACUCCUUUUGUUAGAGAAGAUAAUGACGGUAUCUAACGAAUAAGCACCGGCUAACUCCGUGCCAGCAGCCGCGGUAAUACGGAAGGUGCAAGCGGUACUCGGAAUCACUGGGCGUAAAGAGCGCGGAGGCGGGAUAGCAAGUCAGAUGUGAAAUCCUAUGGCUUAACCAUAGAACUGCAGUUGAAACUGGUAUUCUAGAGUAUGGGAGAGGUAGGUGGAAUUCUUGGUGUAGGGGUAAAAUCCGUAGAGAUCAAGAGGAAUACUCAUUGCGAAGGCGACCUGCUAGAACAUAACUGACGCUGAUGCGCGAAAGCGUGGGGAGCAAACAGGAUUAGAUACCCCAGUAGUC
Molecule: ribosomal RNA, 440 nt
Filed under: uncultured bacterium
Lineage: Bacteria
Description: partial 16S ribosomal RNA
Rfam family: Bacterial small subunit ribosomal RNA
Source: RNAcentral